CAGUAGCCGCGGGAAUACAGAGGGUGCAAGCGUUAAUCGGAUUUACUGGGCGUAAAGCGUGCGUAGGCGGCUAAUUGAGUCGGAUGUGAAAUCCCCGAGCUUAACUUGGGAAUUGCAUUCGAUACUGGUUAGCUAGAGUGUGGGAGAGGAUGGUAGAAUUCCAGGUGUAGCGGUGAAAUGCGUAGAGAUCUGGAGGAAUACCGAUGGCGAAGGCAGCCAUCUGGCCUAACACUGACGCUGAGGUACGAAAGCAUGGGGAGCAAACAGGAUUAGAUACCCCUGUAGUCCCUGUCUCUUAUAC
RNAcentral lists this ribosomal RNA (301 nucleotides) under uncultured bacterium. RNAcentral's name for it is "partial 16S ribosomal RNA". It matches the Rfam family "Bacterial small subunit ribosomal RNA", at positions 509 to 807 of the family's 1533-position model. The record is from RNAcentral.